UCAGGAGGGCAAAGGAGAAGCUGCCUCAUCGACUCCCAGGCAAUGGGGUGCGUGACACAGCAUUGAAGUUCUUACACCGGGAAUUAUGAGACACGGAUCCGGGACUGAGAUCUACUGCCAGCUAUCUGUGUGACCCUGAACCCUUGCCUCCGCCUCCCUACAAUGCAAAUCACAGCGACUACGGCCACACUUGUUGUUCAUCACAGGCAAGGGGUUUUAAAGGUGUGCCACUGACGCUUAAGCACAACUCCGAGGUAGGAAUAGACUCCUCUGAUUCUCAGAGAUGAGGAAGACAGCCCUGAUACCUUGCUCACAACCAUGCAGGCUCAGCUUCACCCAGAGCUUGAAUCAGCUCUGGCUGACUCUUAACCUCCAUGUAUAGCACCCAGCAUUGGUGUUGGGACAAGCCCUGCUCACGCCAUCAUCCCAGUGGCUCCUUGUGAGUAUGACUCACACACCUGGUCUACCACACACCUCAGAGGUACCUUUUUAAUUACAAAAAAAUCAUUUUAAUUGGAAUCUCAGUUUGCCACUGUAACUGGGAAAUCCAAAUCCUUUGUCACAAAGAGAGAGUGUCACAGUCUCUCCCUCCCCACGUGAUGUUAAAGAAAGCUUUGAAUUGAUUCUGGCUCGGUACCUGUGGGAGGCUCUGCAUGGGCCUGCUGUCUGUAAAAUUAAACCAAAAAGCCAAAGAGCAGGGCUGAUGUCUACGAACUCGACAUUCUAGAUGGCUGGGCUGAACUAGCACGUUGGAAACAGAGAGCACAGAGAAGACCAUGCCCCUGCCAUCUAGGUUGGUGCUACUCACAACCAUAUCCCAGAGACGUCACUUGUCACCCUCAGCAGCCAGUGUGCUUCAGAGUCCCUCUAGACUCCUCUUCCUACCUCCAGCUUCUGCUUCCGGGCUUCCGUCUCUUCGUGUAACCCCACUAAUGAGUGCAGACCUGAUGAAAGAAGGGAUUCAGCUUAGUCUGUUUCUUCGGAUGGAUGCUCCACAUACUAUGACCAUCGACUGUGUACCGAGCCAGGACAAUCCUUUGUUCCUGAAGGACUUAGAAGCCACAUGGAGAGGAAAACUGGUCCCACAUGAAUUAUGUCAUCCACUGCUCAUUUUUCCUUAAGAAUGUGCAUAAAGACACAAGGGUGAACUCAAGCCCCAGGACACGAAAAUGAAUGGAGGUGGAUGGAGAAAGUGAAGAUGCUGAUGUGACCCUGGCUUUCCUGGCUGGUCUUAGCUGCAACUGGCUAUAAGCCUCAGGAGAUGGAUGUAGUGAUAUUGUGUUCCCCAAAAUAUUGUGCACCCUAAUAAACUUAUCUGGGGUCAGAGAACAGAACAGCCACUAGACAGAUAUAGAGGCCAGAAAAUGGUGGCACACACACCUUUAAUCCUA
Molecule: long non-coding RNA, 1391 nt
Organism: Peromyscus maniculatus bairdii (prairie deer mouse)
Lineage: Eukaryota; Metazoa; Chordata; Mammalia; Rodentia; Cricetidae
Source: RefSeq, a predicted model, not a curated record